This is a long non-coding RNA of Clupea harengus (Atlantic herring), 2191 nucleotides long. RefSeq lists it as uncharacterized. Lineage: Eukaryota; Metazoa; Chordata; Actinopteri; Clupeiformes; Clupeidae. The record is from RefSeq and is a predicted model, not a curated record. The transcript is spliced from 6 exons.
CUAAACGUAUAAAAACGGGACGCAUGUGCCCAGAAAAGACACGACUCAAAGGAACCUGUUGCCGACUUUCCGUUGGAAUAGCUUUUUUGAAGACUCAACAAUAUUCUGCUGCCAUCAAGCUGGAAAGCCAUGCAGGCUGAGAAGAAAUGGCACAUACUUUUGAGUAUAAUCAUUAUGCUCAUUACUUCGAGCCAUUGCAUGGACAGCAAGGAGGCGAAGCUGAAAGAGAGACGAACACUGUUGGAUUUAUUCUUACAAGUGAUUGGCGAAAACCAACGGGACAAGCUUGUCAACAGGCGCAUCACCAGUGGCCUAUUCUCUGUAUCUCAAGACUUGAAAUUUUCCUCGCGUGAAAAAUCCUCAUACUUACCUAAGCAAGACAGAAGCAAACCAAUAGGUAAGCUAGCGAUGUUAUUGUUCGUGGCAUGUUCACAAAUUCCUUGUAGGAUUGUGUUAGACUUACUAAACUGCAGCCAACAGCCCUGAGGAAAGACACUGAGACAUUGUUGGUUUUGACACAUUUAAGGUUUUAAAAUCCAACUUUACUGUGGUGCACUUUUAGAACCAGCUGUCAUUGAGUCUCCUUCAUUCAGACUAGAACACAACAGGAGACUGUCUGUGUCACGUUCUCACCUGGAAAUACUCCGUUUGGUUCACUGUGCAGUCACAUGGAUAAGUGGAAGAAAACUGCUUGGACCAAUGGGAGUACAUAGGGAAUACUGCAAGAUAUUUCAUCAGAAGAUGCCAAGAGGUUGUCCCAAGAGACACAAGCCUGAAAGACAGGUUCAUAAAUCAUUUUACAGCAGGACCAGUGAAGUUCUCAUCGGAGUGCAGAACACAUUUUCAGAGACUUUAUUAUAAUACAAGGGAUUGCUCAAGACCACUAUACUACAAAAGAUGUGCAAGAUUGCUAACGCGGCUAGCAUUGAGUCCGCUCUGUUCACAGUCGUAAAUGUUGCAUGUAAGUACCAGAAAGACUCUCUACGUGGCAUUUGACAUGUUAUGUAAUGCUGUGUGUCCAUUAUUACACUUAACACGGAUCAGUAAAAAGGCAGAAUCCAGAUCAUGGAACUUAAAACUCUUUGCACUUGGGAACAUUGGGAACAAUCCCAAAUGUUCUUGUCCAGAUGAUAAUCGAUUAAAUCAUACAGUUUAUCACUUACCUUAAAAUAAAGCAGCUACUGUAUCUAGAGAUACUUAUUGAAGAAGGCACAAUAUCACAAAUCAGAAGAUAAGCAGUACUUACGGAUUGUUUCUAUUGUUACAUCUGUGAGUCAUUAUCACAAGUUUGGUGAAACCUUACAAGGAGUCAUUGAAUUACAUGUAAUAUCACUUUAAUAAAAGCCACAUGCUUACUGUGGGAUUUGGGUUGCUAUUUGAGCUUAGGGCUCAUCCAGCAUAAAAGAGUCAGAGUUAGUAUUAGGUACAAAGACUGAUACAACGCCUUGUUAGAAAUAAACCACCCUGUUCAAGCCCUUUUACAUGAGCAUGUCCUUUCUAUUUAUAACUGAAAACCAACCCUUUGCCAGAGCACAUGAUAGCAGAUCAGAAUAGCAAAUGAGUGUUAUGAUUUGGCAAAGUAGGAUAGGAUCCAAGUAGUUUAGUUAGAUCCUAUUUCAAGACAGGCAAAAAAGUGGAGCAGAGGGUACCAUUAACCAGGCAUGCUCCCAGUGUAGCACCGCUUGCACAUUACCGCUAAUACGCUCUUUAUUACUUAUACUCUUAAAGAUAGGCGUUUGAUUGGCUAGCUCUUUAUUACUUAUACUCUUAAAGAUAGGCGUUUGAUUGGCUAUGGAGGUGCAAGUGCAUAACACUGAUUUAGAUGAUUACUUGCGACCCUUAGAGCUAGCGCCCCUCCAGUCCGUUCCCCAUUUAAAGAGCUGAUUACUGUGGAGGAGUGAGUAGGGUAGUUAUCAGUGCGUGAUCUGACGGCAUGCCGUUCAAGUUCUCUGUGAUAGCCAUCGCAAAGGUCACCGCAGCAAGUUCAUUUCUAUUUUAUGAAACUAGUCCAAAGUCUAAAUCAUCACUUACCAUUGUUAUGAAUGAAUAAUGACCUCCAUGUUUAAGAUGUUUAGCAUGACAGUGUACAUUUCCACAACAGAAUUUCUCAGCUUUUUUGCCAUUCCUUAUUGUCAUGGAAACCUAAACUGUUGCUGUGAGCUAUGAGAUCAUGUCAUGUUUGUGUUUGUGC